Molecule: unclassified non-coding RNA, 351 nt
Filed under: soil metagenome
Description: partial contains 5.8S ribosomal RNA, internal transcribed spacer 2, and large subunit ribosomal RNA
Rfam family: 5.8S ribosomal RNA (bases 1-120)
Source: RNAcentral
GAUGAAGAACGUAGCGAAAUGCGAUAAGUAAUGUGAAUUGCAGAAUUCAGUGAAUCAUCGAAUCUUUGAACGCACAUUGCGCCCGCCAGUAUUCUGGCGGGCAUGCCUGUUCGAGCGUCAUUACAACCCUCAGGCCCCCGGGCCUGGCGUUGGGGAUCGGCGGAGCCCCCCGUGGGCACACGCCGUCCCCCAAAUACAGUGGCGGUCCCGCCGCAGCUUCCAUUGCGUAGUAGCUAACACCUCGCAACUGGAGAGCGGUGCGGCCAUGCCGUAAAACACCCAACUUCUGAAUGUUGACCUCGAAUCAGGUAGGAAUACCCGCUGAACUUAAGCAUAUCAAUAAGCGGAGGA